CCUACGGGAGGCAGCAGUGGGGAAUAUUGGACAAUGGGGGAAACCCUGAUCCAGCGACGCCGCGUGAGUGAAGAAGUAUUUCGGGAUGUAAAGCUCUAUCAGCAGGGAAGAAAAGGACGGUACGUGACGAAGAAGCUGCGGCUCAAUACGUGCCAGCAGCCGCGGUAAUACGUAUGGAGCAAGCGUUAUCCGGAGUUACGGGGUGUAAAGGGAGCGUAGGCGGCCCGGUAAGUCUGAUGUGAAAAUUUGGGGCACAACCCCAAACGGGCCUUGGAAACUGCAGGGCUUGAGUGCCGGAGAGGCAGGCGGACUUCCUAGUGUAGCGGUGAACUGCGUAGAUAUUAGGCGGAACCCCAGUUGCGCAGGCAGCCUGCUGGACGGUAACUGACGCUGAGGCUCGACAGCGUGGGGAGCAAACAGGAUUAGAUACCCUUGUAGUC
RNAcentral lists this ribosomal RNA (440 nucleotides) under uncultured bacterium. RNAcentral describes it as "partial 16S ribosomal RNA". It matches the Rfam family "Bacterial small subunit ribosomal RNA", at positions 338 to 795 of the family's 1533-position model. The record is from RNAcentral.